UAUAAAAUUGUUUUGAAGGGUAGUACUGC
Molecule: non-coding RNA, 29 nt
Filed under: Mus musculus (house mouse)
Lineage: Eukaryota; Metazoa; Chordata; Mammalia; Rodentia; Muridae
Source: RNAcentral